UCGAUCGCACCAUUGAUAGCGCAUGCGGCACGUCGAUCGUCGUGGUGGCAAGACUAACAUUGUUUUCCCAUGGAGCUACUGUAUCAAUUGUUUGGCUGUGGUUUACACACUGACUCAUAGUUUUGGGCACAAUAAGCAUUUACAGGAUAACUAGUUUAGUACUAGAAACCUUCGAAAGAAUGUCAAUUGCAUCCUGAAUUCAUAACGUGCAUCCUCGAGCUCGACCCUCCAUAAUCGAUGCAGCUACUAACGCCGCCACAUGGCAUGGCCAACGCAAAUCAAAUGCAGGUGCGUAAGAAGAUAUGAUCGCGUCGUUUUAGAGGGUCUGACGAUGUCAUCAGAUAAGACUUUGACUGAUGUUAUUUGACCCCUGAAAAUUGGGAAUCAGCCAAAGCAGUCCUGUAUGGCGGUCGUGUGGAAAGGAUGCAACCGUGUGGGAUGGCCGUCACUACAAGCAGUCACUUCUUGAGACACCAAAUCCUGUCACACAAGGCCAAUGGAUGGUUGGUGCAUUUUCACUGGGUUUGAAUGUGGUAGGAUUCUUAGGAAUUUAGUGCCAGAGAUGAAGCAGAAGCCGCAACGAAGCCAGGGUUUCAUAAACACCACAGAAAGUUGGGUGUGAAGGGCAUCACCUCAAACUCCUUUGACAACAAGAUGAGACAACUCAAAGAACAUGGUCAGGUUCUUGGCAGGAUUCAUCCUGGGUUCUAUGACAUCAGGAAGAGAUUGAAGGAAGAUCUUGAGAGAAUGUUGGCUGAGAGACGAUGAGGAGUCAAGAAGAUGACGGCCGGUAAACGUCUCAAGUCAACUCGCCCAUAUUCCAUGGAGCCUCGCUUUGCUCACCAACCACCACGCCCAGUCCGGUCACCGUGGCAACUGAACAGCCUCAGGCCCCGCCUCCUGCAGCCAUUAGUCAGAUCGUCGCUUACCAAUUCCAAUCAGCAAUGAGCAUAGUCGAGGGCAACGCAAGACACCUGUCAGCUUUGUUGUUGUACCUGUCAGUGAUCUGGGUUACCCUGUUGGUUCACCAGGGAGUAGCAUCUGGGCUUAUACACCAGGGAGCAGCGGUGACUGGAUCCCAAGUAGCAACUUAGAGGACAUACCAGGCACAGCAGCUAACAGGAUGCCCAACUUCCCCCAUCAAGACACUGUCAAGAGAGGAUGGCUACCUAAUGAACAAAGACACCAAAUCCUGUCACACAAGGCCAAUGGAUGAUUGGUGCAUCUUCACUGAGUUUGAAUGUGGUAGGAUUCUUAGGAAUCUAGAGCCAGAGAUGAAGCGGAGGCCACAACAAAGCCGGGGUUUCAUAAACACCAUAGAAAGU
RNAcentral lists this long non-coding RNA (1325 nucleotides) under Patiria miniata (bat star). RNAcentral describes it as "uncharacterized LOC119732944, transcript variant X3". Lineage: Eukaryota; Metazoa; Echinodermata; Asteroidea; Valvatida; Asterinidae. The record is from RNAcentral.